ACAUUCUCCUCAGCAAUGCUUACACUGAUACUGGCAUACAGAGAAGAUCAGCAUGGUCUUCGCACAAGGAUGGCACACAAACUUGUGAAGUGUUCCAUAUUUCC
Meriones unguiculatus (Mongolian gerbil) is the source of this 104-nucleotide small nuclear RNA. NCBI's taxonomy places the organism in Eukaryota, Metazoa, Chordata, Mammalia, Rodentia, Muridae. The record is from Ensembl.